GAUGAACGCUGGCGGCGUGCUUAACACAUGCAAGUCGAACGGGAAAUAUUUUAUUGAAGCUUCGGCAGAUUUAGCUUGUUUCUAGUGGCGGACGGGUGAGUAACGCGUGGGUAACCUGCCUUAUACUGGGGGAUAACAGCCAGAAAUGACUGCUAAUACCGCAUAAGCGCACAGAACCGCAUGGUUCGGUGUGAAAAACUCCGGUGGUAUAAGAUGGACCCGCGUUGGAUUAGCUAGUUGGCAGGGCAGCGGCCUACCAAGGCGACGAUCCAUAGCCGGCCUGAGAGGGUGAACGGCCACAUUGGGACUGAGACACGGCCCAGACUCCUACGGGAGGCAGCAGUGGGGAAUAUUGCACAAUGGGGGAAACCCUGAUGCAGCGACGCCGCGUGAAGGAAGAAGUAUCUCGGUAUGUAAACUUCUAUCAGCAGGGAAGAUAAUGACGGUA
This 448-nucleotide ribosomal RNA is filed under the name uncultured bacterium. RNAcentral describes it as "bacterial SSU rRNA". It matches the Rfam family "Bacterial small subunit ribosomal RNA", at positions 28 to 477 of the family's 1533-position model. The record is from RNAcentral.